UGUUGGUAGAGCUCUAGACUGGCUAC
RNAcentral lists this non-coding RNA (26 nucleotides) under Mus musculus (house mouse). The record is from RNAcentral. Lineage: Eukaryota; Metazoa; Chordata; Mammalia; Rodentia; Muridae.